Molecule: RNA transcript, 738 nt
Organism: Trifolium pratense (red clover)
Lineage: Eukaryota; Viridiplantae; Streptophyta; Magnoliopsida; Fabales; Fabaceae
Gene name: protein NUCLEAR FUSION DEFECTIVE 6, mitochondrial-like
Exons: 4
Source: RefSeq, a predicted model, not a curated record
AACAGAUACAGAGAAAAGUUUCUCCUUCAAUCAGGGUUUUGGACUCUGCAAAAAACCCUACACUUAUCUCAACAAUUCCGAUCACGAAAAUGGCCUCCACCGCCGCUAGAUCAAUAUUCCGAUCAUGUUCUUCAACCAGAUCAGCGUUUCGUGUUGCCUCCGAAGCUAAACCAGCUCGUUCUCCAUUCCGCAUGGCCUCCAAUAAACCUCUUUCGCCAUCGCAAUCCAUUUUCAGGUCACCUGUUGAAUUGAGUUUUUGCGUGGAAUCGAUGAUGCCUUACCACACGGUUACUGCUUCUGCACUCAUGACUUCAAUGCUUUCCCUUUCUAACCGCAACUACGCUUGGCUUUCAGAAGCAGGAGAUGAGUCAUGAUGUGAUAACUACAGAAUCCAAAAACAAUUAUGCACGAUAUUUAGUGGUGGUUACCAAAGUCUGUGAUAUGCCCUAAAAUCAGCUUUGGCUUUCAGAAUCAUGUUUUUCACUUUCAUUGCCAUAAUUUGUAUCUGCCGUUGGUAUAAAAGAAGACGGCUUGUCACCCGUUCUCAGAAUAUUUGGUAGUUUCCUUGGAAGGGUUUUUGUAACAUCUCUAUAUAUGCUUGAGGAUUAUGUUUGUAGUGUCGUACUAAUAAAAUUUCAUCAUACUGUCACAUAAAAGGUGAUUUGGCACAUGUAUUAAACAAAUUAAACACGAAGUUGCUUUGAGGAUUAAUAAUUUAUAUAACUUUGCCUUUUUCAA